Molecule: transfer RNA, 58 nt
Filed under: Phocaeicola vulgatus
Lineage: Bacteria; Pseudomonadati; Bacteroidota; Bacteroidia; Bacteroidales; Bacteroidaceae
Description: Bacteroides vulgatus tRNA_Lys_CTT
Rfam family: tRNA
About the family: Transfer RNA (tRNA) molecules are approximately 80 nucleotides in length. Their secondary structure includes four short double-helical elements and three loops (D, anti-codon, and T loops).
Source: RNAcentral
GCACUCUUAGCUCAGUUGGUAGAGCAACUGACUCUUAAUCAGUGGGUCCAGGGUUCGA